ACACUCCUACGGGAGGCAGCAGUGGGGAAUAUUGGACAAUGGGCGCAAGCCUGAUCCAGCCAUGCCGCGUGAGUGAUGAAGGCCCUAGGGUUGUAAAGCUCUUUCACCGGUGAAGAUAAUGACGGUAACCGGAGAAGAAGCCCCGGCUAACUUCGUGCCAGCAGCCGCGGUAAUACGAAGGGGGCUAGCGUUGUUCGGAUUUACUGGGCGUAAAGCGCACGUAGGCGGACUAUUAAGUCAGGGGUGAAAUCCCGGGGCUCAACCCCGGAACUGCCUUUGAUACUGGUAGUCUUGAGUUCGAGAGAGGUGAGUGGAAUUCCGAGUGUAGAGGUGAAAUUCGUAGAUAUUCGGAGGAACACCAGUGGCGAAGGCGGCUCACUGGCUCGAUACUGACGCUGAGGUGCGAAAGCGUGGGAGCAAACAGGAUUAGAAACCCCAGUAGUCCCA
Molecule: ribosomal RNA, 447 nt
Filed under: uncultured organism
Description: partial 16S ribosomal RNA
Rfam family: Bacterial small subunit ribosomal RNA
Source: RNAcentral